GAUGAACGCUAGCGGCAGGCCUAACACAUGCAAGUCGAGGGGUAACAGAGAAGCUUGCUUCUGCUGACGACCGGCGCACGGGUGCGUAACGCGUAUGCAACCUACCUCAUACAGGAGAAUAGCCCUUGGAAACGAGGAUUAAUACUCCAUAGUAUCAUUCUUUCGCAUGUUAGAAUGAUUAAAGAAUUUCGGUAUGAGAUGGGCAUGCGUCCCAUUAGCUUGUUGGUGAGGUAACGGCUCACCAAGGCAACGAUGGGUAGGGGGCCUGAGAGGGUGGUCCCCCACACUGGUACUGAGACACGGACCAGACUCCUACGGGAGGCAGCAGUGAGGAAUAUUGGUCAAUGGAGGAAACUCUGAACCAGCCAUGCCGCGUGAAGGAUGACGGCCCUAUGGGUUGUAAACUUCUUUUAUAUGGGAAGAAACUUAUCUACGUGUAGAUAACUGACGGUACCAUACGAAUAAGGAUCGGCUAACUCCGUGCCAGCCGCCGCCGUAACAC
RNAcentral lists this ribosomal RNA (502 nucleotides) under uncultured bacterium. Its description in RNAcentral is "bacterial SSU rRNA". It matches the Rfam family "Bacterial small subunit ribosomal RNA", at positions 28 to 526 of the family's 1533-position model. The record is from RNAcentral.